Molecule: ribosomal RNA, 502 nt
Filed under: uncultured Glomeromycotina
Lineage: Eukaryota; Fungi; Glomeromycota
Description: partial small subunit ribosomal RNA
Rfam family: Eukaryotic small subunit ribosomal RNA
Source: RNAcentral
CCAAUAGCGUAUAUUAAAGUUGUUGCAGUUAAAAAGCUCGUAGUUGAACUUCGGGGUUUACCCAUUGGUCAGGCUUGAUUGUCUGUACUGGUGAGAUAAAUCUCUACCUUCUGAGGAACUUUUAUGUCAUUAAUUUGAUGUGAUUGGAAAUCAGGACUAUUACUUUGAAAAAAUUAGAGUGUUUAAAGCAGGCUAACGUCUGAAUACAUUAGCAUGGAAUAAUGAAAUAGGACGGAUUGAUUCUAUUUCGUUGGUUUCUAGGAUCACCGUAAUGAUUAAUAGGGAUAGUUGGGGGCAUUAGUAUUCAAUUGUCAGAGGUGAAAUUCUUGGAUUUAUUGAAGACUAACUACUGCGAAAGCAUUUGCCAAGGAUGUUUUCAUUAAUCAAGAACGAAAGUUAGGGGAGCGAAGACGAUCAGAUACCGUCGUAGUCUUAACCAUAAACUAUGCCGACUAGGGAUCGGACGAAGUUAAUUUUAUAAUGACGCGUUCGGCACCUUACG